CCCUUAGAUGUCCUGGGCUGCACGCGCGCUACACUGAUGUGUCCAGUAAGCACCUAACCUCUUCCGAAAGGAACGGGUAACCUUUGCAAAGCACAUCGUGAUGGGGAUAGAUUAUUGCAAUUAUUAGUCUUGAACGAGGAAUUCCUAGUAAGCACAAGUCAUCAGCUUGUGUUGAUUACGUCCCUGCCCUUUGUACACACCGCCCGUCGCUCCUACCGAUUGAAUGCUCCGGUGAGCUCUUCGGACUGCGCGGUCUGCAGUUUCUGCGUUCCGUGCGGAAAGUUGCGCAAACCUUAACAUUUAGAGGAAGGAGAAGUCGUAACA
Molecule: ribosomal RNA, 324 nt
Filed under: uncultured eukaryote
Lineage: Eukaryota
Description: partial 18S ribosomal RNA
Rfam family: Eukaryotic small subunit ribosomal RNA
Source: RNAcentral